UACAGAGGGUGCAAGCGUUAAUCGGAAUCACUGGGCGUAAAGAGCGCGUAGGUUGAUAAUUAAGUUGGAUGUGAAAGCCCCGGGCUCAACCUGGGAUGGUCAUUCAAGACUGGUUGUCUAGAGUAUGGUAGAGGGAAGUGGAAUUUCCGGUGUAGCGGUGAAAUGCGUAGAUAUCGGAAGGAACAUCAGUGGCGAAGGCGGCUUCCUGGACCAAUACUGACACUGAGGCGCGAAAGCGUGGGGAGCAAACAGG
RNAcentral lists this ribosomal RNA (253 nucleotides) under uncultured bacterium. RNAcentral describes it as "partial 16S ribosomal RNA". It matches the Rfam family "Bacterial small subunit ribosomal RNA", at positions 524 to 776 of the family's 1533-position model. The record is from RNAcentral.